This is an RNA transcript of Rhododendron vialii, 2581 nucleotides long. It is a transcript of the gene named ubiquitin receptor RAD23d-like, with no coding region annotated. The transcript is spliced from 11 exons. The record is from RefSeq and is a predicted model, not a curated record. Lineage: Eukaryota; Viridiplantae; Streptophyta; Magnoliopsida; Ericales; Ericaceae.
AUUUCAUUCUCUCUCUCUUUCUCUCUCACACAGAGUGACCCGUGCUCCUGUCUCUGUUCCAUUCCAUCUCUCUUCUGUACUUUACAGAGUACUGUGUGACUCAUAGCCGGCGGCCGCCGCUGAUCAAAGACGCCGGAUCGUAACGGAAUUAAAUCGGACGGCGAAGGAUGAAGAUUUUCAUCAAGACACUCAAGGGCACGCAAUUCGAGAUCGAAGUGAACCCCGAAGACACCGUUGCUGAUGUGAAGAAAAGUAUUGAAACAGUUCAGGGUUCAGAUGUUUACCCUGCUGCACAACAGUUGCUUAUUCAUCAGGGGAAAGUUCUCAAGGAUGCGACAACAUUGGACGAAAACAAAGUUGCGGAAAACAGUUUCGUUGUCAUCAUGUUAAGUAAGAACAAGCCUUCAGGUGGGGCCUCAACUACAUCAUCUGCACCUUCAAUUCAGGCCCAACCUGCAAGUUCCGUGGCUCCUCUAACACAGCAAGUAACAGAGUCUCCAGCUCCUGCAUCAACUGCAGGGAUUCCACAGGCUGCCCCUGAAUCCACGCCCGCUGCUCCUGCUCCUGCUGCUCUUACCUUCAGGUCAGAAUCAGCUGUUUAUGACCAAGCUGCAUCAAAUCUUGUUGCUGGUGGUAACUUAGAGGCUUCUAUUCAACAACUUCUUGAUAUGGGCGGUGGGAGUUGGGACCGGGAUACGGUUGUCCGUGCUCUACGUGCUGCAUACAACAACCCAGAGAGAGCUGUUGACUACCUCUAUUCAGGUAUUCCUCAGCAAGCUGAACCACCAGUGGCUCAAGCUCCUGCUAUUGGGCAGGCUGUGAACCCUCUAGCCCAAGCUCCACAGCCAGCAGUUCCUUCCAGUGGCCCCAACGCAAAUCCACUUGAUCUUUUUCCGCAGGGCAUUCCAAAUGUUGGUUCAAAUGCAAGUGCUGGCACCUUAGAUUUUCUGCGCAACAGUCAACAGUUCCAAGCCUUGCGUGCCAUGGUUCAAGCCAAUCCUCAAAUCUUGCAGCCUAUGCUUCAGGAGCUGGGAAAGCAAAAUCCGCACUUGAUGCGGCUAAUUCAGGAGCAUCAAGCAGACUUUCUAAACUUGAUCAAUGAACCCGUUGAAGGGGAGGGGUGAGAUGACAUGUUUUGGUGUUGCUUACAUUCUGUACACGUUAAGUUGGACACACAAGAUGCGGAAUUAUCUCCUUAUCCUUUUGGGCUUACAUUUGAUGUCGGUUUUCUUUUGUAUGUGAUGUCAGCAAUGUAUUGGAGCAGCUUGCAGGAGCGAUGCCACAGACUGUGGCUGUCACACCUGAAGAGCGCGAGGCAAUAGAACGUGUUAGUUAAUUCUCCCCAAUGUCUAAUUUAAAACCAUACUGAUCUCAUAUUUUGGUUUCAGUUGUGUUUAUUGUCGUCAGCAUGAAAUUUAGCAAGUGAGGCUGCAUGUUUACUAUUUCUGUCUGUCUGUUGAAAUUACCAGUUUGUUCUAGAGUUUUUUUUUUUGGGUAAGGAAAAAAAAACUCUAAAACAAACUGGUAAUCAAGGUUUUUGUCUUCUUAAACUUGUUACUUCAAGUAAUUUGAGACAAUUGCCAACAUUGUGGUCCAUGUGAAAGUUCAGGGUGUAGAUCAUUUAGUCUUCUUUCAACAUAUCCUCUGGAAAGGAAAUUUUGAGGAAGUAUUAAUAUUUCUUUGUCGGAUUCUAUCACUUGGAAAGGAGGGGCAUUGCAAAGUGCAAAUAGUGAAAUAUUGGCAAAAGUUUUUCUAAUUUUUGGAACUUAAACAAAAAUAAUGGUAGAAAUAUACUGGUGAUUUCUUGAAAGACUAACGUAUGAGGUUUUACUUAUUUUAUAUCUAUUGUUUGAGAUCUUUUUGUAGGAAACACACACAAACGAUCAACAAAUAUAUGAAAACAGUAAAGAAUCAAGACACAUAAUUUACGUGGUUCCUCAAAACUGGGUACGUCUACGGGAGUGAGAGUGCUAGUGUUUCUUAUUAUCACUGUUUCAGGGUUUACAUAGAGUAUUUAUACCUCACUCUAUCCCUAACCCUAAUCGGGGUACAUGUCCUUUCUCUUUCCCAAAAAUACCUUACAGUAUUGUACCGUACCGUGGGGGGCGUAGCCCCCCACCCCCAACCCACUCCAUGGGAACGGUGAUGGGCCAGUUGCUGGAGCGGAGCGGAACGAGUGGAGCGAAACUCCAGCCUUGUUUUUCAUUUGCUUAAACUGUGAAGGCAUCAAUUCCAGGAAAGCUACCUUUUCCCCUUUUGAUUUCUUUUCCGCCUCCUCCUCAUUCUUCUAUCUAUCCCUAUGGCAGCUUUGGCGAGGUCCCAUACCAUGUCUGAUAAUUUUAACAUGGCUUGAAGCGAUGGGCUUUGAUCGAGCUUUAGUGUUGGAGGUAUUUUUUGCGUGCAACAAAAAUGAGGAGCUUGCAGCAAACUAUCUUUUAGAUCACAUGCAUGAGUUUGAUGACUGAUGAGGAUCGAAGUACAGAUUGGUUCUUCCUUUUCCUGUUCAUUUCCCCCUAUUCUUAAGUGAAUUGACUCUAUCUUUUAGCCAUGGUCAAAUUUCAUUUCAUCAUUCAAUGUGUUA